AACAUAUGCUCUCAUGAAAUGCGUCAUAACACAAACAAUACACAUCAAGGAUGGACUUGUCACCAGUAACCCUCUACAUAAUCCAAUGUGCCCGGCCCACUAUGGGAGCUCCUCAGGACUUUCGCUUAAACAUAACAUAUCCAAUAUGCCAGGGGUGUAGAAUGGGCCUCACCUGGACUUUCUCUUACAUCGUGUUAGGGGCGUAGAAUGGGCCUCACCUGGACUUCCAUACCGUAUCAUAUCAUAUCAUCUCGAGGGCUAGUGGGUCAUCCAAUAUCCAUCCACAACAACAGUAAAUUAUGCAAUGCAUCAUAUUCGUGAAUUCUAAUGCAAACAACCUAUUACAUAACAUGGCAUUCGUGAUGCAUGAACAUGCUCAAAAGUUUGAUUACUUUAAAACAAUAGAUUAGUUUAGUUCUACUCACCUCUGGCUGGCGCUUGACCACAACUGUAGCAGCUGACUCACUACUGGCCUCUACGGUCUCCCAGGUCCGAUCCUACAUAGAUGGACUCCUAUGAGGGACUAAGCAUAGCUAAUACAUGACUCUAACAACUUCCCAAAACCCCCCCCAAAACAUCAUAAAACAUGCAUAGAAAACAAGCAAAGGAAGGCUUGACAGGGGACUUUCGGUGGCAGGUUCAGAGACCGAAGGUCCUUACAGAUCUGAAAGUCAGACAUUUUCGGGGGUAGGUUCGGCGGCCGAAUGUCUCUACAGAUCCGAAAGCCACUAACCUUCGGGGGGCAGGUUCGGCAGCCAAAGGCUGCUUCCACUGGCAGGUUUGGCGGCCGAACCUUGCUUCGGCGGCCGAACCUUACUUCGGCGGCCGAACCUAGGUUCUCCAGAAUGGCAAAACCCAAUUCUGCCUCAAACGCUCAGCCACCAAAAAUCGCCAAAACUCAAACCCAACACCUCAAAAGUAUUCAUAUUCACUUCAACAUGCAUCAGGGGUAUAAAACUAGCCUAAACCCCAACAAACAACUAUAAAACAAUACAUAAGCAAACAUUCAUCAACACAACUAACACAAAUCCUAACACUUUAGAUCUAACCAAAACAUGCAUCUUUACCCCUCAACCCUUCAUAAAACUUAAUUAAAAAAUAAUAAAAGCAAGGAUCUACACUUACCUCUUGAAGAUCGAAGGUAUAUGUGACCCAAGCUUGGAGUUGAGGAGGAACGGUCUCCCAAACUUCAAAAUCCUUGAUCCAAGCUUAAAACUUCAAAAAUAAGAAGAAAACUCAUGAAUUUGUAAAAGAUUUGAAGGAAAACUAACAGGAACACAAAGAGAGGGCGUGAACUCACCUUUGCACGAAAAUGGAGAGGAAAACCCUCUCAUUUUCGGGCUGAAGGCCCUUUAUAGGUGGUUGGCCAGACCACCUUCGGGGGCCGAAAGGAGAGCUCUCGCGGCGGCACCAUGUUCGAUGGCCGAACCUGGGCUUUUCUCCAAAAACAAUUUUCUUUUCCUUUUAAAACUUUAACUAAAAACCAACCAAUAAAACCAUGAAAAUCAUUUUGUAAAAAUAUAUUUUACCCUUCUAGAGGUUCCAGAAUCCGAGAUUCCGGAUUCCAACAGAGAUUCCGUUGGAAGGUUGGAAUUCUGCGUUGGGGUCUAGCCGGGUAUUACAUUCUUCCCCCCUUAAGAACAUUCAUCCCCGAAUGUUCAAACAGCACACAUGCACACAUAACAUCAAGAAAGCACAUAAAACAUAAAACACUUACUUCAAAAGAGAUAGGGGUACUGCCUAAGCAUGGAUUCCCAGGUCUCCCAGGUGCAUUCUUCCAUAUUGUGGUGAUUCCAAAGGACUUUCACCAUCACAAUUUCCUUGUUCCUCAGCUUUCUGAUUUGUGUGUCUAUGAUCCGCACCGGCUGCUCAACAUAGGUGAGAUCUCCUAGGAUCUCUACCUCUGGUUCAUUAAGAACUUUACUCGGAUCCGACACGAACUUUCAUAACAUGGAAACAUGGAAAACCGGAUGGAUUCUCUCCAUUCAAGCGGAUAAAUCUAACUUGUAGGAUACAUUCCCAAUCCUCUGUAGGAUUUCGAAGGGUCCGAUGUAUCUUGGAGCUAGCUUACCCUUCUUCCUAAAAUGAAUCACUCCCUUCAUAGGAGACACCUUAAGCAAUACCCUAUCCCCCUCUUGGAAAACAACAUGCUUCCUGCGGAUGUCUGCAUAACUCUUCUGCCUGCUCAUUGCUGUUUUGAUCCUCUCUCUAAUGAUAGGCACUACCCUGCUGGUGAUCUCUACUAGCUCUGGUCCUGCCAAAGCCCUCUCUCCCACUUCUUCCCAACAGACGGGUGACCUGCACUUCCUCCCAUAUAGAGCUUCAUAAGGAGCCAUCCCAAUGCUAGCAUGGUAACUGUUGUUGUAGGCAAACUCCACCAACGGUAGAUGUUGUCUUCAAGAACCGCCAAAAUCUAGCACACACAUUCUCAACAUGUCUUCUAUCAUUUGGAUGGCCCUUUCUGACUGUCCGUCAGUCUAUGGAUGGAAGGCAGUGCUAAAGUCUAGCCUUGUGCCCAUAGCAUUCUGCAGACUCCGCCAAAAUCUGGAGGUAAACUGGGGUCCCCGAUCUGACACUAUUGAAACUGGAGACCCAUGAAGCCUAACGAUCUCCUCCACAUAAACCUGUGCCAGCUUGUCCACCGAGUAACCACUCCUGACAGGAAUGAAGUGAGCAGAUUUGGUCAAUCUGUCCACUAUUACCCAUACAGAGUCUAAUCUGUUGGACGUGGCUGGUAACCCCACUACAAAGUCCAUCGCUAUAUUUUUCCAUUUCUAUUCUGGAAUCAGUAGUGGUUUGAGCAUCCCAGCUGGCUUCUGAUGCUCUAGCUUCACCCUCUGACAUAUUUCGCAAGUGGAUACAAACUGCACCACUUCCUUCUUCAUAGCUGACCACCAAUAAACUCUCUUUAGAUCCUGGCACAUUUUGGUGGCCCUAGGGUGAACACUAUAUCUGGCAUUAUGAGCUUCCCUCAUAAUGUCUCCCUUCAAAUUUACGUCAUCUGGUACGCAUAACCUGUUCCCAUAACGGAGGAUCCCUUUGUUGUCGAAUCUAAACUCUUCAUUCUUGCCUGACUGAACAGUCCUGGCAAUUUUUACCAACUCGGGGUCCUCAUACUGUUUCUGCACCACUUGCUCCAGAAACACGGGUGUCACUCUCAUCUGAGCCACAAGUGCACCUGUACCAGACAACUCUAACCGUAAACCCUCAUUGAUGAGCUUGUAAAAUUCUCUCACCACCGGUCUUCUCUCUGCUGAAAUAUGGGAUAAACUGCCAAGUGAUUUCCGGCUGAGGGCGUCUGCCACUACAUUUGCCUUACCCGGAUGAUAUUGGAUCUUGCAAUCAUAAUCAUUAAGCGGUUCCACCCAUCUUCUCUGCCUCAGAUUCAAUUCUUUCUGACUCAAGAUGUACUGCAAACUUUUAUGAUCUGUAAAGAUCUCACAUUUUACCCCAUACAGGUAAUGCCUCCACAUCUUGAGUGCAAAGAUCACAACUGCCAUCUCUAGAUUGUGUGUAGGAUAAUUCAACUCGUGCUUCUUCAGUUGUCUAGAAGCAUAAGCAAUUACCCUUUCAUCCUGCAUUAACACACAACCUAGUCCCACUUGGGAUGCAUCACAAAAUACUGUGAAGUCUUCAUUACUCGUAAGCAGAGCUAACACCAGUGCUGACGUCAACCUUCUUUUCAGCUCUUCAAAACUCUCUUCACAUUGUUCUGACCAAACAAACCUCUGAUUCUUUUUGGUCAGCCUGGUCAUAGGAGCAACAAUUUUUGAGAAGUCUUGAACGAACCUCCUGUAGUAACCUGCCAAACCCAAAAAGCUUUUAAUCUCUAUUACUGUAGUGGGUCUGGGCCAGUUAGCUACAGCUUUAACAUUCUUAGGGUCCACCUCGAUUACCUUUUCUGACACCACAUGCCCUAAGAAAGAAAUGCUCCUCAACCAGAAUUCACACUUAGAGAACUUGGCAUACAAGCCGUGUUCUCUCAGGGUCUGCAACACAAUCCUCAGAUGAUGGGCAUGCUCCUCCGCGUUUCUGGAAUACACUAAGAUAUCGUCAAUGAAAACAAUAACAAAGUGAUUCAAGAACUGGCUAAAAACUCUGUUCAUGAGGUCCAUGAAUGCUGCAGGGGCAUUGGUCAGCCCGAACGGCAUCACUAGGAACUCAUAAUGCCCAUAUAUGGUCCUGAAAGCUGUCUUUGGCACAUCUUCUUCUCUGACCCUCAACUGGUAGUACCCGGAUCUCAGAUCUAUCUUGGAAAAGCAAUUGGCUCCUGCUAGCUGGUCAAAAAGAUCAUCAAUCCUAGGUAAUGGAUAUUUGUUCUUGGUAGUGACUUUGUUCAACUGUCUGUAGUCGAUACAAAGUCUUAAGGAUCCAUCCUUCUUUUUCACGAAUAACACUGGAGCACCCCAAGGCGAGGUACUAGGUCGGAUGAAACCCUUAUCUACCAACUCUUGCAACUAUUCUUUCAACUCCUUUAACUCUGCAGGUGCCAUCCUGUAGGGAGGAAUAGAGAUGGGUCUGGUUCCUGGCAUCACUUCAAUUUCAAACUCUAUCUCCCUAGCAGGUGGUAAACCUGACAGCUCGUCUGGGAAAACAUCAAGGAAUUCUCUAACUACGGGCACUGAAGCUGGUUCCCUGACCUGACUGUUAAGCUCUCUGACAUGAGCAAGAAACCCUUGACAACCCCUCCUAAGCAACCUACGAGCCUGAAGGGCUGAUAUCAAACCUCUAGGCAUCCCUACUCUAUCUCCUCUAAAGACAACCUCUGACCCAUCUUGUUCUCUGAACCUGAUUACCUUGUCUCUGCAGUCCAAGGUAGCACCAUGAGUAGAAAGCCAAUCUAUCCCUAGAAUGACGUCAAAAUCAGUCAAAUCUAGAAACACAAGGUCAGCUGGAAGGCAUCUACCCUCAAUAAAAACUGGACUGAACCGGCAGACUGACUCUAUCACAGAUGGAUCACACUUAGGCCCACUAACCCAAAGAGGACACUCUAACCCAGAAGCUAUCAAAUCCACUCUGUCUAUGGCUCUCAGAGCAACAAAAGAAUGAGAAGCACCAGGGUCCAUAAGAGCAUACACAUCAGAACAUCCAAUAGUGAGGUUACCUGACACCACCGUGUUUAAUGUGUUAGCCUCCUGCUGAGUCAUAGUGAAGAUUCAUGCUGGAGCUGAUGGACCUUCUCCUUGGGAACCUACGGAAGAAGAGGCUGCCCCUCUCCCUCUACCAUGCCCUCUGCCCUGAGAUGUGGCUAAAGCUGCUGGUUGUGCUACACUACCAGAAGCUGUCUGCUGGGACUGUACCAUCAAGGUUGCAUUGGGACACUCACGUACCAUAUGCCCCUCUUGUCCGCAUCUGAAACAUGCUGUAGUCCCAAACCGACAGAUCCCUUUGUGCGGCUUACCGCACCUCAUACAUCCGGAACUAUCCGAAUCAGAGGUUGAACCACCACCCAUUCCUAGACCAGACUUCAAUCGGUUCCAGAACUUGUUCUUCUUUGGCUUUCUGGUGGCUCUAUCCCACUUUUUACCCUUUGAGGCAGCUGCACUCAGAGAGGAGAGAUCAAUAUUCCCUGUUCCCAAGGUUUUAGAACCCGAGAACUGUGCCACCUGUUGUUUAACUAUCCCUUGAAUAAUGGCACUAGCCUCCAUCUUCCUAGCUGCAUCCACUAUGGUGUGAAAACUCUCCUUCUCUGCUGCUAAGAUCAGGGAGGAAUACCUAGAGUGGAGUCUCAUGGUAUACCUCCUGACUUUCUUCUGAUCCGUAUCAUAUGUCUGUCCCACAAACUGGAGCAACUCCAGGAAUUUUUUUGUGUACUCAUUUACACUUAUGUCUUUAGUUUGUCUCAGCUGCUCGAACUCAAUUACUUUCAGCUCUCUAGAACUGUCUGAAAAAGCCCAUCCUGCAAAUUCAUUUGCAAACUGCUCCCAGGAUAAGCUGUCCAAUCUCGGGUCCACAUAGUUCUUGAACCAUUCCUUCGCUUUCUUACAUUUCAGAGUGAACCUCACCAUCUGAAUGGCUCUGCUAUUACUAGCCCCCAAUUCAUCAGUUAUCAUUUUCACCGUCUUGAGAUACUCAAACGGAUCAUCACCUAUCUUAAACUUGGGAGCAUCCAACUUCAGAUGAUCUGUCAUUUUCACUUUGCUCCCAUCUGAUGGGUUGGGUCUAGAUGAUUGGGUUUCAGGAACCCUUGGUUCUAUUGGGAGAGGAGGAGGUGGUGCAACAUUCCCUGGAUUAGGGUUUGUUGGAUUCUGAUAGAAAGGUGGGGUGAAAACAUCGGGUAGGGUGGAUAUGGUGGGUAAAAGGGAGGAUAUGGCAUGAAUGAGGGAUAUGGGUUGUAGCUAGAGAAAUCUGAUGUGCCUCCCAUCGAAUACCCGGGUCCCUGUGGAUAGGGUUGGUACUGUGGUGGAUAAGUAUAACCCGAGGCCUGAGUGCCUCCUUGUGAUUCUCCCAUAUCCUCUUCUGACAUACUCACACCCAAACUGCCAUCCCUUCUCUGAUCAUCUUCCACUGUUUUCCUCACAUCCGCAGACAUCUUUCCCGGAUCUGUUCUCCUCCUAUUUACAUCAAAAGACCUUCUAGGGUCCCUUGAUGUUUCCCCUCUGCUGGUUCUACUAGACCUUGCUCUUGGCAGAGUAGGGGGUAGGGCGUCCAUGCCCUCAUUCUCAGGUGGAACUCUAGUCAAUAGUGCAGAUCGACGAGUGCCUCGCAUUCUGAUUUCUGAAAAGACAACAUACAUCACAUAAACAUUAGCAUCAUAUGGUUCAUGUGGUCACACAUGAACCCAUAUCAUAUACAUAACAUAUCAUUAAUGCUCAUGCAUAAAGUCAUGGCAUUUCACAUCAUCAUCAAGACAGGACGCUACAUCCUAUCCUAGAGGACAUGAUUUUUUUUCCCUAAUGUUCUUGCCCUUCUAUACCAUCUAUGAGCCCGACACGCUAGGUCCGACCAUAUGAACCUAGGGCUCUAAUACCACUCUGUAACGACUCGGAAAUCGGACCGCUACCGGCGCUAGGAUUCAGAUCGACUUAAGGUCACCAGAACCCGUAGCAAGCCUACUAUACAUCCUAUGUACCUGAUAAAAUCCCAUACAUGAUCAUACAUUUUCAUAAAAAUUUUAAACAUUUUAUAUACCAAGCUCAACCUGUGCAUGCAUUAUAAACUGUACAUAUAAAACCCACACUAAAGCCCUCAUCAAUUACUCUAGUAUGGUCAACAUCACAUGCAUCAAGCUUGGUUCAACGUAACUCAUCAUUAAAACUUUUACAUAAUAAUCAUGUUCACCGGAAUUUACAAAACAUAAACUAGGGCAAAGCACAAGUCUAAUCCAUUACAUAGUACAUGUCCACUACUAAUCUAUUACAUAAACUUAUACCAGCCUCUAGCCGACUUUUCGAGCUAUUCUUGACCCUGCAAACCUAGGGUUAGGGGAGAGGGAUAAGCUACAAGAGCCUAGUGAGCAGAACAUAAAAACAGUUUAAUAAAUAUAUGCUCUCAUGAAAUGCGUCACAACACAAACAAUACACAUCAAGGAUGGACUUGUCACCAGUAACCCUCUACAUAAUCCAAUGUGUCCGGCCCACUAUGGGAGCUCCUCAGGGCUUUCGCUUAAACAUAACAUAUCCAAUAUGCCAGGGGCAUAGAAUGGGCCUCACCUGGACUUUCCCUUACAUCGUGCCAGGGGCGUAGAAUGGGCCUCACCUGGACUUCCAUACCGUAUCAUAUCAUAUCAUAUCAAGGGCUAGUGGGUCAUCCAAUAUCCAUCCACAAUAACAGUAAAUUAUGCAAUGCAUCAUAUUCAUGAAUUCUAAUGCAAACAACCUAUUACAUAACAUGGCAUUCGUGAUGCAUGAACAUGCUCAAAAGUUUGAUUACUUUAAAACAAUAGAUUAGUUUAGU
RNAcentral lists this long non-coding RNA (7896 nucleotides) under Manihot esculenta (cassava). Its description in RNAcentral is "long non-coding RNA (MESC_LNC005882)". Lineage: Eukaryota; Viridiplantae; Streptophyta; Magnoliopsida; Malpighiales; Euphorbiaceae. The record is from RNAcentral.